Molecule: ribosomal RNA, 468 nt
Filed under: uncultured bacterium
Lineage: Bacteria
Description: partial 16S ribosomal RNA
Rfam family: Bacterial small subunit ribosomal RNA (bases 13-373)
Source: RNAcentral
GACGAACGCUGGCGGCGUGCUUAACACAUGCAAGUCGAACGGAAAGGCCCUGCUUUUGUGGGGUGCUCGAGUGGCGAACGGGUGAGUAACACGUGAGUAACCUGCCCUUGACUUUGGGAUAACUUCAGGAAACUGGGGCUAAUACCGGAUAGGAGCUCCUGCUGCAUGGUGGGGGUUGGAAAGUUUCGGCGGUUGGGGAUGGACUCGCGGCUUAUCAGCUUGUUGGUGGGGUAGUGGCUUACCAAGGCUUUGACGGGUAGCCGGCCUGAGAGGGUGACCGGCAACAGUGGGAAAGAGAUACCGCCAGGACCCCGACGGGGGGCAGAAGGGGGAAUUAUUGCACAUGGGGGGGAGCCGGGAUGCAGCACCGCCGGGGGGGGGAGGGCGGCCGGCGGUUUGUACACCGUUUGCGCCGGUGAAGAGGGGGGGGGGAGGGUAGGGGGUAGAAAAGCCCGGGCAAACAAGGCC